This is a long non-coding RNA of Felis catus (domestic cat), 330 nucleotides long. RefSeq lists it as uncharacterized. The transcript has 3 exons. Lineage: Eukaryota; Metazoa; Chordata; Mammalia; Carnivora; Felidae. The record is from RefSeq and is a predicted model, not a curated record.
UGGUUCAAAGGAUAGAGGAGGAGAAGAUAACUGGGCCACAGUUAAACUUUUUCCCAUAAAAGAAUUAAAAUAUUUAAAUAAUGGACAAAUGCCCUAAGUUAUUUUGCUUUUUUAUUUUUGUGCUUUUAGUGGACUGUCACCUUUAUUUACACGUAGCUGAUUCUGCACCCAUAAAACUCCAUGGAUUGCCAAAUGAAUCAAAUGAAAACAACGAAGCAUAUCAACACAAUGAAUAUCCAUCAAAAUAUUCAGGUAUGACGAAAAACAAGAGUACCACCUCCAAGAUGAAAAUCGAGCAAGACAAUGAUAUAGCAUAUGCUAUACCUAAAA